GAUAAAGUAUCCGUGAAAACUUCAUCCGCGUCCGAUCGGGGGAAGCCGGUGAGAAUCCGGCGCUGACCCGCAACCGUGAGUACGGGCUGUGUGUGCCGCAGGGCGUACGAGCCGGAGCACCUGGUCGGCCGCACCGCAGGCU
RNAcentral lists this non-coding RNA (142 nucleotides) under Streptomyces sparsogenes. The record is from RNAcentral. Lineage: Bacteria; Bacillati; Actinomycetota; Actinomycetes; Kitasatosporales; Streptomycetaceae.